AGCGAACGCGGAACAGCCUGUAUGUGAUAGAGAUUGCGUUAGUGGAAGGUUCAUGGAAAGGACCGCCGUAGUGGGUGAUAGCCCCGUACACGAAAACGCAUUCUUGGUACUAAGCAUACGAGAAGUAGGGCGGGACACGCGAAAUCCUGUCUGAAUAUGGGGGGACCAUCCUCCAAGGCUAAAUACUCGUGAUUGACCGAUAGUGAACCAGAACCGUGAGGGAAAGGUGAAAAGCACCCCGG
This 242-nucleotide ribosomal RNA is filed under the name Bacillus sp. AFS015802. Its description in RNAcentral is "partial 23S ribosomal RNA". It matches the Rfam family "Bacterial large subunit ribosomal RNA", at positions 252 to 529 of the family's 2925-position model. Lineage: Bacteria; Bacillati; Bacillota; Bacilli; Caryophanales; Bacillaceae. The record is from RNAcentral.